RNAcentral lists this ribosomal RNA (956 nucleotides) under Vreelandella aquamarina. RNAcentral's name for it is "bacterial SSU rRNA". It matches the Rfam family "Bacterial small subunit ribosomal RNA", at positions 38 to 995 of the family's 1533-position model. The record is from RNAcentral. Lineage: Bacteria; Pseudomonadati; Pseudomonadota; Gammaproteobacteria; Oceanospirillales; Halomonadaceae.
UGCGGCAGCUACACAUGCAGUCGAGCGGUAACAGAUCCAGCUUGCUGGAUGCUGACGAGCGGCGGACGGGUGAGUAAUGCAUAGGAAUCUGCCCGAUAGUGGGGGAUAACCUGGGGAAACCCAGGCUAAUACCGCAUACGUCCUACGGGAGAAAGGGGGCUCCGGCUCCCGCUAUGGGAUGAGCCUAUGUCGGAUUAGCUAGUUGGUGAGGUAACGGCUCACCAAGGCCACGAUCCGUAGCUGGUCUGAGAGGAUGAUCAGCCACAUCGGGACUGAGACACGGCCCGAACUCCUACGGGAGGCAGCAGUGGGGAAUAUUGGACAAUGGGGGAAACCCUGAUCCAGCCAUGCCGCGUGUGUGAAGAAGGCCCUCGGGUUGUAAAGCACUUUCAGCGAGGAAGAACGCCUAGCGGUUAAUACCCGCUAGGAAAGACAUCACUCGCAGAAGAAGCACCGGCUAACUCCGUGCCAGCAGCCGCGGUAAUACGGAGGGUGCAAGCGUUAAUCGGAAUUACUGGGCGUAAAGCGCGCGUAGGUGGCUUGAUAAGCCGGUUGUGAAAGCCCCGGGCUCAACCUGGGAACGGCAUCCGGAACUGUCAAGCUAGAGUGCAGGAGAGGAAGGUAGAAUUCCCGGUGUAGCGGUGAAAUGCGUAGAGAUCGGGAGGAAUACCAGUGGCGAAGGCGGCCUUCUGGACUGACACUGACACUGAGGUGCGAAAGCGUGGGUAGCAAACAGGAUUAGAUACCCUGGUAGUCCACGCCGUAAACGAUGUCGACCAGCCGUUGGGUGCCUAGCGCACUUUGUGGCGAAGUUAACGCGAUAAGUCGACCGCCUGGGGAGUACGGCCGCAAGGUUAAAACUCAAAUGAAUUGACGGGGGCCCGCACAAGCGGUGGAGCAUGUGGUUUAAUUCGAUGCAACGCGAAGAACCUUACCUACUCUUGACAUCCUGCGAA